RNAcentral lists this ribosomal RNA (523 nucleotides) under Bifidobacterium longum subsp. infantis. RNAcentral describes it as "bacterial SSU rRNA". It matches the Rfam family "Bacterial small subunit ribosomal RNA", at positions 158 to 696 of the family's 1533-position model. Lineage: Bacteria; Bacillati; Actinomycetota; Actinomycetes; Bifidobacteriales; Bifidobacteriaceae. The record is from RNAcentral.
GGGUGGUAAUGCCGGAUGCUCCAGUUGAUCGCAUGGUCUUCUGGGAAAGCUUUCGCGGUAUGGGAUGGGGUCGCGUCCUAUCAGCUUGACGGCGGGGUAACGGCCCACCGUGGCUUCGACGGGUAGCCGGCCUGAGAGGGCGACCGGCCACAUUGGGACUGAGAUACGGCCCAGACUCCUACGGGAGGCAGCAGUGGGGAAUAUUGCACAAUGGGCGCAAGCCUGAUGCAGCGACGCCGCGUGAGGGAUGGAGGCCUUCGGGUUGUAAACCUCUUUUAUCGGGGAGCAAGCGAGAGUGAGUUUACCCGUUGAAUAAGCACCGGCUAACUACGUGCCAGCAGCCGCGGUAAUACGUAGGGUGCAAGCGUUAUCCGGAAUUAUUGGGCGUAAAGGGCUCGUAGGCGGUUCGUCGCGUCCGGUGUGAAAGUCCAUCGCUUAACGGUGGAUUCGCGCCGGGUACGGGCGGGCUUGAGUGCGGUAGGGGAGACUGGAAUUCCCGGUGUAACGGUGGAAUGUGUAGAUA